UGGGGAAUAUUGGACAAUGGAGGAAACUCUGAUCCAGCAAUUCUGUGUGUGUGAAGAAGGUUUUAGGACUGUAAAACACUUUUAGUAGGGAAGAAAAAAAUGAGGGUACAUACAGAAGAAGAAACGGAUAAAUACGUGACAGCAGCCGCGGUAAUACGUAUGUUGCGAGCGUUAUCCGGAAUUAUUGGGCUUAAAGGGCAUCUAGGCGGUAAGACAAGUUGAAGGUGAAAACCUGUGGCUCAACCAUAGGCUUGCCUACAAAACUGUUGAACUAGAGUACUGGAAAGGUGGGUGGAACUACACGAGUAGAGGUGAAAUUCGUAGAUAUGUGUAGGAAUGCCGAUGAUGAAGAUAACUCACUGGACAGAAACUGACGCUGAAGUGCGAAAGCUAGGGGAGCAAACAGG
Molecule: ribosomal RNA, 407 nt
Filed under: Verrucomicrobiota bacterium
Lineage: Bacteria; Pseudomonadati; Verrucomicrobiota
Description: Verrucomicrobia bacterium partial 16S ribosomal RNA
Rfam family: Bacterial small subunit ribosomal RNA
Source: RNAcentral